Molecule: long non-coding RNA, 234 nt
Filed under: Elaeis guineensis (African oil palm)
Lineage: Eukaryota; Viridiplantae; Streptophyta; Magnoliopsida; Arecales; Arecaceae
Description: long non-coding RNA (EGUI_LNC022666)
Source: RNAcentral
GGUCAUUCCUAAUGAUUAUGGAAUGAUCAUUGAAAGAUUCGUCGAUCUUCUUUACAUCAUUUUGAAAUACAAACAUCAUCAACAAAUAAAUCAACAAAUAAAUUAAAAAAAUUAAAUAAAAUAUAAAUAUUUAUAUAGCUUGAAUAUAUAUAUCAUCAAAUGAAAAAUAAUUUGGAGUUUCGAGCUCAUUACAAAAUACACAGCAUUACAACGAUGGCGCACCAAGCAUCGCAC